CCCUUAGAUGUCCGGGGCUGCACGCGCGCUACACUGAAGGAAUCAGCGUGCUAAAACCAUUGUCGAAAGGCAUUGGUAAACCCAUUAAAAUCCUACGUGAUUGGGAUCGGGAAUUGCAAUUAUUUCCCUUGAACGAGGCAUUCCCAGUAAGUGUGGGUCAUAAGCUCGCGUUGAUUACGUCCCUGCCCUUUGUACACACCGCCCGUCGCUGCCCGGGACUGAGCCGUUUCGAGAAAAGCGGGGACUGCUGCUGUCGGGGCUUUCGGGCCUUGGCUUCGGUGGAAACCGCUUUAAUCGCAGUGGCUUGAACCGGGCAAAAGUCGUAACA
This 328-nucleotide ribosomal RNA is filed under the name uncultured eukaryote. RNAcentral's name for it is "partial 18S ribosomal RNA". It matches the Rfam family "Eukaryotic small subunit ribosomal RNA", at positions 1470 to 1796 of the family's 1831-position model. The record is from RNAcentral.